RNAcentral lists this long non-coding RNA (753 nucleotides) under Pelobates cultripes (western spadefoot toad). Lineage: Eukaryota; Metazoa; Chordata; Amphibia; Anura; Pelobatidae. The record is from RNAcentral.
GGUAGAUUGGUGUCUUCCAGGGGAGACUGGUAUGUCAAGGGACUAUCGCAACCAACUAGAGACCUACUAUGGGACUCAUGGACGCCAGGUAUUCCCCCGAAAUAACUUAUCCGCAUGGAACACCUUGAGUUUGCUGGUGUAUGGGAAGGGACUGCGAUCCCUUUAUUACCCCUAUCUCCACGAUGCUGGAUCUUUAUCAUACCUUUUCACUACAGGCCGAUCGGAACGUUCCAUUAACGGGCUACGUUCCGCAAUUUCGGAGCCUUUGAUAUGCCAUUUUCUGUGGGGUAUUAAACCGUCCAGAACCAUGCGUCAAAGUAUCACUGGUGUGGGACUUUGAUUUGGUUCUUUUGGAGCUAGUCAGAUAUCACGGUCCUAUCCCUCAGUCAGCCAUUAGCCAGAGUCACGUUACUUUUAGGUCUUUUCGUCGGGUAUCAGAUGUACUGGAGUUCGACGUAGACGGUCUUUUCGGUAUCACCAGAAAGAAUAAUUUCUACAGUGUCUUGUAGAACUAUAUCUUAUCCGUGUCCGUAUCGUUCCCUGUUACCGACUGUUUCCCAGCCUUUGUGCAGUUAAAGGGGUACUUUGUUACAUGGAGAUCACAACAACACUUAGAAUGUCACAUUCAGGACAUCUGCUGGUCUUAUACCAACCGUACAAGCCAGUUACCAUGAACACUCUGUCUAGAUGGGUUCAUUGGUUGUUAUCGCUAGCGAGGGUGGAGACGUGUUUGGGUACUCAUUCGGUAAGAGG